CCUACGGGGUGCAGCAGUGGGGGAUAUUGCACAAUGGGGGAAACCCUGAUGCAGCGACGCCGCGUGGGUGAAGAAGCUUUUCGGCUCGUAAAGCCCUGUCAUUAGGGAAGAAAAUGACGGUAUCUGACGAAUAAGCCCCGGCUAACUACGUGCCAGCAGCCGCGGUAAUACGGAGGGUGCAAGCGUUACUCGGAAUCACUGGGCGUAAAGGGCGCGCAGGCGGGAUAGCAAGCCAGAAGUGAAGUCCCGUGGCUUAACCACAGGACUGCACUUGACACUGUGAGGCUAGAGUGCAGGAGGGGCAGGUGGAAUUCCUGGUGUAGGGGUAAAAUCAGUAGAUAUCAAGAGGAAUACCCGUGGCGAAGGCGACCUGCUAGAACGCAACUGACGCUGAGGCCCGAAAGCGUGGGGAGCAAACAGGAUUAGAUACCCGUGUAGUC
This 440-nucleotide ribosomal RNA is filed under the name uncultured bacterium. RNAcentral describes it as "partial 16S ribosomal RNA". It matches the Rfam family "Bacterial small subunit ribosomal RNA", at positions 338 to 795 of the family's 1533-position model. The record is from RNAcentral.